Molecule: ribosomal RNA, 478 nt
Filed under: uncultured bacterium
Lineage: Bacteria
Description: partial 16S ribosomal RNA
Rfam family: Bacterial small subunit ribosomal RNA
Source: RNAcentral
GACGAACGCUGGCGGCGUGCUUAACACAUGCAAGUCGAACGGUAAGGCCCUUCGGGGUACACGAGUGGCGAACGGGUGAGUAACACGUGGGUGAUCUGCCCUGCACUUCGGGAUAAGCCUGGGAAACUGGGUCUAAUACCGGAUAGGACCACUGCCUGCAUGGGUGGUGGUGGAAAGCUUUUGCGGUGUGGGAUGGGCCCGCGGCCUAUCAGCUUGUUGGUGGGGUGAUGGCCUACCAAGGCGACGACGGGUAGCAGGCCUGAGAGGGUGACCGUCCACACUGGGACUGGGAUACGGCCCAGACUCCUACGGGAGGGAGCAGUGGGGCAUAUUGCACAAUGGGCGCAAGCCUGAUGCAGCGACGCCGCGUGACGGAUGACGGCAUUCGGGUUGUAAACCUCUUUCAGCACCGACGAAGCGCAAGUGACGGUAGGUGCAGAAGAAGGACCGGCCAACUACGUGCCAGCCGCCGCGGUAA